GAUGAAGAACGUAGCGAAAUGCGAUACUUGGUGUGAAUUGCAGAAUCCCGUGAACCAUCGAGUCUUUGAACGCAAGUUGCGCCCGAAGCCAUUAGGCCGAGGGCACGCCUGCCUGGGCGUCACACGUCGUUGCCCCCCCAUCUACUCCUUCGGGAUUGCGGGGGGCGGAUGAUGGCCUCUCGUGCGCCUCGUCGCGCGGUUGGCCUAAAUGCCAAGUCCUCGGCGACGCACGUCACGACAAUCGGUGGUUGCGAAACCUCGGUUGCCUGUCGUGUGCGGUCGUCGCGCAUCGAGGGCUCGAAAAAAUUGCCGGGCUUCGGCUCGACUUUCAACGCGACCCCAGGUCAGGCGGGGUUACCCGCUGAAUUUAAGCAUAUCAAUAAGCGGAGGA
This 391-nucleotide unclassified non-coding RNA is filed under the name soil metagenome. RNAcentral's name for it is "partial contains 5.8S ribosomal RNA, internal transcribed spacer 2, and large subunit ribosomal RNA". The stretch from base 1 to 122 matches the Rfam family "5.8S ribosomal RNA", at positions 35 to 154 of the family's 154-position model. The record is from RNAcentral.